ACGCUCGACACCUACGGGAGGCAGCAGUGGGGAAUAUUGCACAAUGGGGGAAACCCUGAUGCAGCGACGCCGCGUGAGCGAAGAAGUAUCUCGGUAUGUAAAGCUCUAUCAGCAGGGAAGAAGAUGACGGUACCUGACUAAGAAGCACCGGCUAAAUACGUACCAGCAGCCGCAGUAAUCUGAGCGGGCUGGCAAGGC
Molecule: ribosomal RNA, 198 nt
Filed under: uncultured bacterium
Lineage: Bacteria
Description: partial 16S ribosomal RNA
Rfam family: Bacterial small subunit ribosomal RNA
Source: RNAcentral